Molecule: ribosomal RNA, 481 nt
Filed under: Blastocystis sp.
Lineage: Eukaryota; Bigyra; Opalinata; Blastocystidae
Description: SSU rRNA
Rfam family: Eukaryotic small subunit ribosomal RNA
Source: RNAcentral
GGAGGUAGUGACAAUAAAUCACAAUGCGGGACUAUUUAGUUUUGCAAUUGGAUUGAGAACAAUGUACAAGAGUUAUCGAUAAACAAUUGGAGGGCAAGUCUGGUGCCAGCAGCCGCGGUAAUUCCAGCUCCAAUAGCGUAUAUUAACGUUGUUGCAGUUAAAAAGCUCGUAGUUGAAGUGUGGGGUGAAAGGUUUGUGGUUCGUUUCGUUCCGCGUUCUGCUCACCCCCUCUCCAAUGUGUUGUUAUGGGUAUUAAUUUACUUGUAAUAGCUAUUGGUCAUUUACUGUGAGAAAAUUAGAGUGUUCAAAGCAGGCAUUUGCUUGAAUAUAUUAGCAUGGAAUAAUAGUAAAAGGCUUUUGUGGUCGAUUUAAUUGGUUUGUUCAUGAAAGCAAGAUUAAAAGGGACAGUUGGGGGUAUUCAUAUUCAAUAGUUAGAGGUGAAAUUCUCGGAUUUAUGGAAGAUGAACAAGUGCGAAAGCAA